AGCCAUAUCACAUUGAAACACUGGUUCUCAUCCAGUCAGUGAAGUUAAGCAAUGUCAAGCCUGAUCAGUACCUAAAUGGGUGACCAUUUAGGAAUACCAUGUACUGUAA
Non-coding RNA from Acanthosepion pharaonis, 109 nucleotides. The record is from the annotation of a GenBank genome assembly. NCBI's taxonomy places the organism in Eukaryota, Metazoa, Mollusca, Cephalopoda, Sepiida, Sepiidae.